Molecule: ribosomal RNA, 496 nt
Filed under: uncultured bacterium
Lineage: Bacteria
Description: partial 16S ribosomal RNA
Rfam family: Bacterial small subunit ribosomal RNA
Source: RNAcentral
GAUGAACGCUGGCGGCGUGCCUAAUACAUGCAAGUCGAGCGAACAGACGAGGAGCUUGCUCCUCUGACGUUAGCGGCGGACGGGUGAGUAACACGUGGAUAACCUACCUAUAAGACUGGGAUAACUUCGGGAAACCGGAGCUAAUACCGGAUAACAUGUUGAGCCGCAUGGUUCAACAGUGAAAGACGGUCUUGCUGUCACUUAUAGAUGGAUCCGCGCCGCAUUAGCUAGUUGGUAAGGUAACGGCUUACCAAGGCAACGAUGCGUAGCCGACCUGAGAGGGUGAUCGGCCACACUGGAACUGAGACACGGUCCAGACUCCUACGGGAGGCAGCAGUAGGGAAUCUUCCGCAAUGGGCGAAAGCCUGACGGAGCAACGCCGCGUGAGUGAAGAAGGUCUUCGGAUCGUAAAACUCUGUUAUUAGGGAAGAACAAAUGUGUAAGUAACUAUGCACGUCUUGACGGUACCUAAUCAGAAAGCCACGGCCAACUACGU